Molecule: long non-coding RNA, 332 nt
Filed under: Brassica napus (rape)
Lineage: Eukaryota; Viridiplantae; Streptophyta; Magnoliopsida; Brassicales; Brassicaceae
Description: long non-coding RNA (BNAP_LNC015968)
Source: RNAcentral
ACAAAAGAAACAACCAUUUAUGGUUUAGACAAAAAAAAACAACCAUUUAUGGUUCUAUGACUACUAGAAUUGGAAAUGGUUACUAUUAUGAAGGAUAAUCAUAUAAGGAAAAGAGAAAAAUCUGACCCACUAGGUACGGUCAUUGAAUCAGUUGAUCUCUUGGCCCUAGUAGCUAUGCUAGCUCUGCUCAAGGAAGAAAAUGACAAAGGAGAAUCAUCAGCUUCAGAAACUUUACAUUCUUGAUACACUUACGACCUAGGCUCAACGUAAGACCAAGCUCGAGCUCAUUCUCUGCCGGAGAAAAUAAUUCUCGCAGAGACGACAAGACUCUC